CAGUAGCCACGGGAAUACGGAGGGAGCUAGCGUUGUUCGGAAUUACUGGGCGUAAAGCGCGCGUAGGCGGUUACUCAAGUCAGAGGUGAAAGCCCGGGGCUCAACCCCGGAACUGCCUUUGAAACUAGGUGACUAGAAUCUUGGAGAGGUCAGUGGAAUUCCGAGUGUAGAGGUGAAAUUCGUAGAUAUUCGGAAGAACACCAGUGGCGAAGGCGACUGACUGGCCUAAUACUGACGCUGAGGUACGAAAGCAUGGGGAGCAAACAGGAUUAGAUACCCCUGUAGUCCCUGUCUCUUAUAC
This 301-nucleotide ribosomal RNA is filed under the name uncultured bacterium. RNAcentral's name for it is "partial 16S ribosomal RNA". It matches the Rfam family "Bacterial small subunit ribosomal RNA", at positions 509 to 807 of the family's 1533-position model. The record is from RNAcentral.